Molecule: long non-coding RNA, 2544 nt
Organism: Numida meleagris (helmeted guineafowl)
Lineage: Eukaryota; Metazoa; Chordata; Aves; Galliformes; Numididae
Exons: 8
Source: RefSeq, a predicted model, not a curated record
GGAGUGGCGGCCAUUAACACGCGGAGUUACGCUGUGAGGAGGUGGAAUGGGGCAGCCCCACAGCCCUGGGACGUAAAUCCGAGGUGUUGGGAUGGCAGAGAUCUGGCAUUCGAGUCUGGCUGUAUCUCCUUCAAAAACCUUUUUGCUUUGUGGCUUGAAGAUGAAAGUUGGAGGCGUGUGAUGUUCUUUUGCUAAAUUAAAGAGGAAAGAUGAGAAGGAGUUACUAUUAUCUGCUCCAGCAAGAGAAUACUUAGAGCCUUGGGGAGGACUCAUUAAAGGGGGAAGAGAGUGGAAACUAUAAACACUGGCAUUUUACUAGUUUGCCUUCAGCCAGCAGCAAGGUUCCUGCACUAGAGACCUGCUGACUGCUGUGUGCUGCUGUAAUGUGCUUCCCUCCUGAACACUGCAGUUCAAUAAGACACUGAGUAGCUGCUGCCCCGCCAUGCACAGAUCAGCUCCUCCCAGCGAGGGGUAUCUGCAGGUGUUCAACUCUACCUGGAAACAGACUGUGUAAUGAAGCACGACAAAAACUCUUUAGCGUGGCCCUGCUCUACAGUGUCAGAUCAGUCAACCAUCUGGCUUGGGAAAGUGGAAUCGUCUUGAUUACUGAAGUGUGCAGAUCCCUCUGGGAGCUGCAGUGGCCGCUGAACGUCUCUGGAGCGCUGCGCUCUGCUCACAUGUCCUUCACAGCAGCUUGCUGACAAGGCUUGACACGAGACAGACACAAAUCAAUAGCUUGUUGUUAAAUGUUAGUGAGAUGGAAUUUCAGGGAGCCUUCAUGUUAAUGUCAUUUGGCACUUACGUGGAAUGAACACCAGAGAAGGCAAAGCAGGCUUGAACUUGGCUCCAAGAGUGAUACGAAGGUGGUCCUGGCAUCUGUUUCACUGUCUGAGAGGUGCUCUCAGGAAAGCGGGUGGCCUGUGCAUGAAGAGUAAACACGUCGUGUUCCGGAGUCGCUGGAUUUGGUGUGCAGAGUUCCUCUGCCAAUUCUGAAGUUCUCCAAACUCUGUUGCUCGCUCUUCUCUAUACAUCUGCUGACAGCGUAUCCUGUCUUGAUCAUGCCACCUCUGUCUUGCUCUAAGGUGAGUUUUGUUUUAUAGUUGGGACGUGAAUAUAAAGGUUUCAAAGCAUUCAAUGUAUUUACAACUGUGUGAUGGGGACAUAGUGUGGCAACUUUUUUUGCCAUUGUAGCACCCCAGGAGUUUUUAUCACAUGUGGAAAUAGUGAUAAUGCAGGAAAAUGUGAAGAUUUUGGCUUAAACAAGAAAAAUCAAAAGACUUUUUCCCUGUUUAGAUUUCAGUGAGUUAAAACACAAUAGUAGAGGCUGCUUCCAUAGCAAAUACGUACCAGUUGGGCUGCAAUGCAGCAGUGGGAAAAGCUCUUACACUAUUUGUUCUGCAGAUAACAUUUUCUGAGCUACUGAAGGGAAACUUCCACUCAGACAAGUUGCAAAUCCUUGCAAGGCAUCUAGAGAAACAGUGCUUCUAACACGCUGCUGAUGUCUGAGUACAAAUCGUGAGGUGCCGCAGUAAGAAGUUGCUGUGCCCUUGAGUCAUGAAUUCCCUUGAAACCUCCCUGUCUUAUGAUCCUGUCCUUCACCAAAAGGGAUGGCAGUGCCAUGAGCCCUGAGAAUGCUCUGUAGCUGUUUGCAUUGGUUUUAGUUAAGCGUUUGUAAUGCUGAGAAUUCACAGUGUUUUAAAUUCUUUUUCCCCUGGAAAAAGCAAAUAUCUCGCUUUUCACUGGUCUCUGUUUGUCUAAUUAGAGAACAUAUGAAGUGCUAAAGCAGUUUCCAGAACCGUUUGCUCAAGAACUGUCCUACUAAUAUUACAAGCAAUAAUGUUUAGCAGCUGGGCAGUGUGAGUGUUUCACAGGUGAUGUUUAUUUGUCAGGAGGAAUCAAAGUAUUUAAAUAACGUGCAGCAAUGGCACUGCUUUUGUACACAUACAAAAUUACAAUCAGUAAUCAGCCGAGUUCUCUGUUCUACAGAAUGACUUUCACAAUAAAUGCUGUUUACCAAGUAUCUAACUUUAGUUAUAUGUGCUUACAGUUAAACCAAUUAACCAUAAAGUACGAAGAUAUGUAAGGAUAUAUUAAUUUAAAUGAUUCUUUAUAAAUAUAUCAGCAUGGUCUGUGUGACCGAACUACCUCAAGCGUGUCGUGGUGCACUUUUUCAUUAUUUAAUCCCACAUCAGUGCUAAGAAUUUCUUUGUACAUUUGGGUAGUGUUUGUAAGUCCAGGUCCCCCAGCUUGCUUCCCAUGUUCGAUUCCGUGUGGCUGCUCCCCCAUGGAAGCUCCCUGUGCGACAUUAGGUUACCUCAAGUUACAGCGUUCUGGUGAGCAAAGCUGUUACAACUGCAUCCACGUUAUACCAAUAAAAUAUGGGAAAAUAACAUUUCCAGCAUUUUCUAACACAGGGCAAUAUUUGUCAGCUUAAUACUGAGUACUGUGACCUGAGCCAUCUUUAAAUAUUCCAUGUUGCACAGUUACGUACGUCUCUAUCACGUGUCACGUUGGAGUCCAUAAUACUCAUGUAUUAAAAAUAAG